GUGCCUGUAGCUCAGUUGGAUAGAGCGUCAGCCUCCGGAGCUGAAGGUCGAGCGUUCGAGUCGCUCCAGGCACG
RNAcentral lists this transfer RNA (74 nucleotides) under Candidatus Poribacteria bacterium. RNAcentral describes it as "tRNA-Arg". It matches the Rfam family "tRNA". Rfam says of the family: Transfer RNA (tRNA) molecules are approximately 80 nucleotides in length. Their secondary structure includes four short double-helical elements and three loops (D, anti-codon, and T loops). Further hydrogen bonds mediate the characteristic L-shaped molecular structure. tRNAs have two regions of fundamental functional importance: the anti-codon, which is responsible for specific mRNA codon recognition, and the 3' end, to which the tRNAs corresponding amino acid is attached (by aminoacyl-tRNA synthetases). tRNAs cope with the degeneracy of the genetic code in two manners: having more than one tRNA (with a specific anti-codon) for a particular amino acid; and 'wobble' base-pairing, i.e. permitting non-standard base-pairing at the 3rd anti-codon position. The record is from RNAcentral. Lineage: Bacteria; Candidatus Poribacteria.